This 20-nucleotide microRNA is filed under the name Marchantia polymorpha subsp. ruderalis. The record is from RNAcentral. Lineage: Eukaryota; Viridiplantae; Streptophyta; Marchantiopsida; Marchantiales; Marchantiaceae.
AGAGAGAGAUUGUGUGCUCC